GUUUGAUCCUGGCUCAGGAUGAGCGCUAGCUACAGGCUUAACACAUGCAAGUCGAGGGGAAACGACAUCGAAAGCUUGCUUUUGAUGGGCGUCGACCGGCGCACGGGUGAGUAACGCGUAUCCAACCUGCCCACCACUUGGGGAUAACCUUGCGAAAGUAAGACUAAUACCCAAUGACGUCUCUAGAAGACAUCUGAAAGAGAUUAAAGAUUUAUCGGUGAUGGAUGGGGAUGCGUCUGAUUAGCUUGUUGGCGGGGUAACGGCCCACCAAGGCGACGAUCAGUAGGGGUUCUGAGAGGAAGGUCCCCCACAUUGGAACUGAGACACGGUCCAAACUCCUACGGGAGGCAGCAGUGAGGAAUAUUGGUCAAUGGACGAGAGUCUGAACCAGCCAAGUAGCGUGCAGGAUGACGGCCCUAUGGGUUGUAAACUGCUUUUAUAAGGGAAUAAAGUGAGUCUCGUGAGACUUUUUGCAUGUACCUUAUGAAUAAGGACCGGCUAAUUCCGUGCCAGCAGCCGCGGUAAUACGGAAGGUCCGGGCGUUAUCCGGAUUUAUUGGGUUUAAAGGGAGCGUAGGCCGGAGAUUAAGCGUGUUGUGAAAUGUAGACGCUCAACGUCUGCACUGCAGCGCGAACUGGUUUCCUUGAGUACGCACAAAGUGGGCGGAAUUCGUGGUGUAGCGGUGAAAUGCUUAGAUAUCACGAAGAACUCCGAUUGCGAAGGCAGCUCACUGGAGCGCAACUGACGCUGAAGCUCGAAAGUGCGGGUAUCGAACAGGAUUAGAUACCCUGGUAGUCCGCACGGUAAACGAUGGAUGCCCGCUGUUGGUCUGAAUAGGUCAGCGGCCAAGCGAAAGCAUUAAGCAUCCCACCUGGGGAGUACGCCGGCAA
This 890-nucleotide ribosomal RNA is filed under the name uncultured bacterium. RNAcentral describes it as "bacterial SSU rRNA". It matches the Rfam family "Bacterial small subunit ribosomal RNA", at positions 11 to 891 of the family's 1533-position model. The record is from RNAcentral.